This 955-nucleotide long non-coding RNA is filed under the name Macaca mulatta (Rhesus monkey). RNAcentral describes it as "lncRNA (ENSMMUG00000060483.1)". The record is from RNAcentral. Lineage: Eukaryota; Metazoa; Chordata; Mammalia; Primates; Cercopithecidae.
AUGAGUCUCCCUGGAGUAUAAACCUGUCUGCAGUUACUCUUGAGUGAAAAUGGUUACAGAUUGUAUCAUACAGGAUGGAGAAUAGGAGAGACCUGUGUUAGUAAAAAUGGAGGAAGGUAACUCUUCUGUACGAGAAAUUGACUUGCAGUAGAACAGCCAGCCCAGCCAGGAAGUCUUCUGCCAGUGCUUUAGACAGCUCUGCUACCAGGAGACACCUGGACCCAGGGAGGCUCUAAGCCAACUCUGGGAACUUUGCCAUAAGUGGCUACGAUCAGAGGAUCAUAACAAGGAGCAGAUCUUGGAACUGCUGGUGCUGGAGCAUUUCCUGUCCAUCCCACCCGAGGAGCUCCAGUGUUGGGUACAAGAGCAUCAUCCAUUGAAUGGAAAUGAAGCUGUGUCUUUGCUGGAAGAUUGGAGAGGGAACUUCAUGAUCCUGGAUUUCAGGAAUGUUUCCUGAGGUUUCAGAUCUAGUUCCCACAGAAGUUUCCUCUCAAGUACAAUGGUCCCUAAUUGUCUCCAAGGCACAUCCCAAGCAGAUGGACUGGAAGUGCCCUGGGAGGAGGUGAUAUCUCUGGGAGCUACACAGCAGUCACCAUGUUAUCACCUCCAACACAUAGAGACCCUGCUCAAGGAUGACCCUUUGGAACCCUAUUCUCCACAAGAAAGAGACAGUGAAACUAGGCCUGAGACUGGUAAUUUGGCUCCAAAGCAGGAAGCAUCCAAAGGAAUGGAAUCACAGAAGACGCUGUUCAGUAGAAUCUGCAGAGGCAGGAACAUUUUUCAGGAUACUCAUUUUGGAGACCUUCAUGAAUGCAAGGACAGGUUUGAAAAGCAUCAAGGAAGUUUAAAGGAAGGAAAAGAACACACAUGUGAUCAGUGUGGGAAGUUUCAUGCACAACAUCAGUCUUAUUGGACACCAGAGAAUCUAUACAUGGGAAAAACCCUCUAUGUAUAA